GCUCAUGAAUAUUAAUAUUUCCAAGCUUACGUUGAUUUCAUGGAGCAUCCAGUUACGUAGCUAUUAAUAUUAAUGAGUAACGCCUUCGUAGAGCUCAACGCAAGCGUUUUUACCAUAGGAAAGUGCGGGUCAACUAGCGUGUUAUGACAGUACGUCACCGUUUGCGGAUACCAUACAAAUGAAUCAGGAGAGCCGUUAACUGACACCUACCUGUCGCAAAACUGUCCGUGUCUUCUCUUAUAAAACAGACAUUUUAUCGUAGUAAACUCCACACCAAGUUCAUUCCAAAAGGAUUGUUUGGUGUAAAACAUGUUAAAGAUUGGCGGUCAGCUGAUUAAGUGAUGAGCUAUUUCCUCACUAAAGCAGUUUAUUCAGCACACUGAAACAUCUCCGCCUCUGAUCUCAUCGCAGAUGUCAUGCCCAUAGAAUUUCUAGCCGCGUAAUGCAUUGUGUAUCAGCUAGAAUGGCUCUGGUAAAGCUGUUCAGUUUGUAGCCAUUAAACCCGGAAGAUAAUUAGCAUUUUGGAGCCAUACAUUUUAUCGGGAAUUUCAUAGUGGGUUUUAGAACAGCAGUUUUUGAUUAGUGAGUAAAAUAUGGUCUGUGGUUAACAUUAUUUGAAAAGACGUUCACGCGAAUAUGAGUUUACAAACGUCGUUCUAUCAGCAAAUCAAGUAGAUGUACUGUCCGAACGUCGGUACGUCAUUAAUGUUAAUGAGCAAUUUCCUCGCCGUAUUAGGAUUCUGUGAAUUCAUGAAACAACGUUGGCUAGAACUUUAAAGGUCCAAAAAGCACAUAAACGCAGCAUAAAAGUAAUCCUCACAACUCCAGUGGUAAAAUCCGUAUCUUGAGAAGCGAUAAGAUAAGUGUGGGUGAGAAACAGAUCAGUGCUGUGGUUGCCUCGCUGACCUGUCAGUCAACGACUUAAAAGACAGCAUUUGCGUACGAAGGUACCUCUGGAAACUGGUUUCAGACAGUCUUCCUAGGCAGCGAUACGUCAUAUCAUUGCUAGGACAGCAGCAUGCAUUCAGUCCAACCAAACCACUAAAGGUCUAAUAAUUUAGAACAAAAUCAAGAGAGUUUUGGCGAUAACCCAGCAUACAUUAAAUAAGUACAAUACUACUUUCUGUGCUAGAAAUGGAAUCAAAAGUUGGGAAAAAAUCUUACAUUUAUACACAAACUGGCUAUCAACUGCCUCUUCAGCCACCAUUUUUUUUCUUUAGCUCAGCCGCUGUGGAUCCACACACACAGGAUUGUAAGAGUUCAUAGGCAGCGACGGAUACAUCUAUGCUGCCUUCAAAAAUGUAUCAGAUGAAGGUAUCUCAGUAGAAUGGAUGUGAUUAGAACAUUGGAUUCGGACAUGCCUUGAUCACUUUAUACCCACGUAUACAGCCUCUGGAGGCAGCAUUUUCCUAGUUUCAAACGCAGCCAAUAUUGAAGUCCUUUUUUACUAUAAACUGUCCUCCUUGCCCAGUAGAUGGCGAUAUGCACGAAAAAUGUGAGUUGGAAAAAAAGAAGAAAGUGAAAGGACUUAAAUAUUGAUCAGUUUCUCACCCACACCUAUUACAUAAAUUCUGAAGAUAUGGAUUUAACUAUUGGAGUCUUAUGGAUUGUUUUAUGCUGCCUUUAUAUGAUUUUUGGACCUUCAAAGUUCUGGUCACCAUUUACUUGCAUUGUAAGGACCUACAGAGCUGAAAUAUUCUUCUAAAAAUCUUUGUGUUCAGCAGAAGAAAGAAAGUCACACAUCUGGGAUGGCAUGAGGAUCGAUGGACCAGAAAUCAUUUAGACUGAUUCGAUCCAGUUGGAUUCAUUCAUUGAAAAAAACUGACUCAAAAGACCGACUCACAAAUCAAACUUUGUCUUACUUGAAAGUUUCUACUCUACACAGCAGCAAAUAGGCCUGGAACACACCAUUUUGAGAUGUAGUAUUUCCAGGAUACCAAUGACUGCGGGAACCCAGUAAAACAGAAAGACAGUGGCCUUAUUGUAAAGUUCUGGACCUACAGAUGAAUGCUUAUACCUGCUUUAUAAUAAUUUGUUUGAAU
Long non-coding RNA from Myxocyprinus asiaticus (Chinese sucker), 2042 nucleotides. RefSeq lists it as uncharacterized. The record is from RefSeq and is a predicted model, not a curated record. Lineage: Eukaryota; Metazoa; Chordata; Actinopteri; Cypriniformes; Catostomidae. The transcript has 3 exons.